This 396-nucleotide ribosomal RNA is filed under the name uncultured bacterium. Its description in RNAcentral is "partial 16S ribosomal RNA". It matches the Rfam family "Bacterial small subunit ribosomal RNA", at positions 523 to 918 of the family's 1533-position model. The record is from RNAcentral.
AUACAGAGGGUGCAAGCGUUAAUCGGAUUUACUGGGCGUAAAGCGCGCGUAGGUGGCUAAUUAAGUCAAAUGUGAAAUCCCCGAGCUUAACUUGGGAAUUGCAUUCGAUACUGGUUAGCUAGAGUAUGGGAGAGGAUGGUAGAAUUCCAGGUGUAGCGGUGAAAUGCGUAGAGAUCUGGAGGAAUACCGAUGGCGAAGGCAGCCAUCUGGCUUAAUACUGACACUGAGGUGCGAAAGCAUGGGAAGCAAACAGGAUUAGAUACCCUGGUAGUCCAUGCCGUAAACGAUGUCUACUAGCCGUUGGGGCCCUUGAGGCUUUAGUGGCGCAGCUAACGCGAUAAGUAGACCGCCUGGGGAGUACGGUCGCAAGACUAAAACUCAAAGGAAUCGACGGGG